AUAAAGGGAACUGCUGGAGACGCCGCUCGGUCUUUUACGUCUGGACUGGGGAAGUGUGGUCUUGUUGUGGAUCAAAAGAUCGUUUGAAAAUGGGCCGUCCCCGACCUUGUCUGAGAUUGAGCUGUACUGUGCCCAGAUGGCGCUAUGUGCAAAGCAGAUUAGUAAAAGAGGCAGGGAUCUGGCAUUCUGUGAAAACGCUUAAUCUUCAAAAUAAUUGGUCCGCUGUGGGAACAUUGGGCUCUGUGUGGUGUAAAGGAGCUGUUACCGGGCGGUGAUAAGGUGGAGGGGGAAAUUCCAAAACAAAUAUCCAAGAGAAUAUUUGCUAGGAAAUGACUUGAUUGGAACCUGACAGUCUUAACCCAGUAUCCUGGAGAUUGAUGAACAAUAAUGGAGCUAUAAAUGUCACAGAGGAGCAACCUUGCUUUGAGGUGUCGCUGUCUGCCCAUGGAAAGAGGCCAGUUUGCAGUAACCUUCCUAACGCAUAACUCAUUUCUGGCAAAUGCCACCAGAUUUACUUGUAUGAAAAACAUAAGGAAAAGCUCUUCAUUUUACUGGCAUGGAAAGAAAACCUACAAAUCAAGACCAUAUAUUCAUUUUUAUUUAUGUAAACAAAUUAAUCAAAUCAAAUGUAUCCAUAAAAAUUAAGCCUCUUACUUUUGUCACACUGCCCUAGCCACAACCUGUUAGUCAGAUUGCUUUGUAGAUCUAGUUCUAUUUUAAAUACAGGAAUGUGUAGAAAACUAAUUUUUAUGGUAAAGUCUUUUUUUUUUUUUUUCUCCAGUUAACCAGACUUGUAAUCAGAUCACUCUGAAUGCUUUGUCUUUGGUCACCUGUUUAAAUUUAAAGUGUGUGAAUGUAAUUAAAGCGGAGUGAAAAUUGGAGUAUUGUGGGGAAAUCCUUGGGGUUUUUUUGGCGAAAUGACUUGGUUUGGCAGUAUCACUGAAUAAGUACAAAUCAUCUUGGCUUUUUGUGUGGUACUAAGUAUUCCUGGGCUAAUGGUGAGCAAAAUGGAGAGACUGCCUGUUAGGGGAGAGAAAAAUACCAGUUAUCAAAAUGAUCAGUGAUUACUGGUCCUAAUGCAAUUGUAUUUUGAAAGGAUGCUCAAGAUGGGAAAUGUAGAAUGCUGAAAAUGAAGAGAGCACAGCGUAACAAUUAUGGGUAAUGGAGGAAGAUAAGGGAGUUUAAAGUACUCAAACAUUUCACAGAAUGUAGACUGUAAUAGCAUCUGAUCUAACCAAGAUGGGCCCCAUGCAUGAUCAUUUUCCAUAAAGAGCUGCAUAAGUAAGUUGUUCUUAAGCCCAUACUUCUGUGUCAGUCAAAAUAAUAGAAUUUUUGUCAGCUUAUAAUGAGCUGUAUUUUUUCCAAAAUAUUUUCCUGGCUUUUAGUGAAAAUUCAGUUUUGGACCCAUGUAGCUUAGAAGAGGCUCAUGAGACUUGACAAGCCUGUUGGGUUAUUGGUCAGGCACAGAGUGGAUUUACUCAAGUAUUAAAAUGGUGUACAGAAUACAUACUGGAAAUAGUUUAUUGCAGCCAAACUAGAAUAGAAGGUAUUUAUGCCACCACGUAGAGAUCAAGUAUUCUGAGUCCCUGCACACUAUUAAAUUAUAGGUUCAAUGAAUUACAAGUUGUCUGCAGGAAAUACAAACCAGUCUUUUGGAUAGGAAGUGUGAGGUGUCUAAACUGAGAGUAGGGUGUGGUCCCUUUAAUGAGGCCUUAAGACUUGAAAUCCAGUAAUGGGAAAAGCCAUUUGGCAUAAUGGAUUACGCAUGGUAUCAGAAGGAAUUGGGAAAGCUGUGUGGCUUUAAGACUACUUAGAAACUUUGGAAGAUCAGUGGUAUAAUGUAUAUGAUGUCGAGUGAUUUGGCAAAAUACUAACUACUGAAGUUGUAAUUUCUCAAUGCUAUUCCUAAAUUAAAGAGGCUUUGGAUUAGUGACCUUGUUGCCUUUUCUCAAAAAACAAAUGUGCCUAUGCCUACAUUUGUUUUUAAUCACCCAAGAUCUUAAGUACCUGGAUACCUUAGCUACCUAGUUGGCACUUGUUUGCAUGCUAAAUGUUAGGUGUACAUAAUAUCAUUCAUUAUUGAAGUAGAUGAUAGAAGUGAGGUCUGCACAAAAUUUUCAGGGACGUGUCUGCCCUUUUGUCAAAGCUGGCACACGGGACUUGAAAACAAGUUGUGAAAUUUGCCUUGGGAGCACUCUGACCUCUUUUCCUGCAGUUAUUGCUCCCUUCUCAGUUUUUUCUGGUAAUGUCACAUUUCUUCAGUUGAUAGACUUUGAAUCAAGUUAAUGUGUUUAUGUAUUGUACUGUACUGGGCUCUAAUAAGGUCAGAAGUAAAACACUUGCUGUGUCCUCUGUUAAUAGUGGUACAAAGUGACAGAAGGCACUGUGAGAGAGGUACUUAAUAUCUGAGGCAAGUGAACAGUGGAUUUGAAUCAAAAGCAACCCAGAGGAAUAUAAAUCUUUACAUAUAAACACUUGAUGUAAAGAUUGUAUGCCCCAGGACCUGAGAGUGAUGAAUUGGGAAUUUGGGUAUCAAUUGGGUGGUCAGAUAUGGAACAAAUAAUGUGGAAGAUAAGGCUGAAGUGUUUGGGGGCAACUGUAAUGCUAUGGUCAUUUGAUUUACCUAAAACUUGACUUUUUUUUCAGCGGGAAGACAUAGAGCAGAAAAUCACAUAAUUUAGUCCAUUUGAUUCUGCAGAGUCCACACUUGAACAAAUCAGGACCAAAAAGAGCUAGAACAAAUAAUCCUAAAAUUUGUACGGAACUGAAA
This is a long non-coding RNA of Neogale vison (American mink), 2770 nucleotides long. RefSeq lists it as uncharacterized. The record is from RefSeq and is a predicted model, not a curated record. The transcript is spliced from 7 exons. NCBI's taxonomy places the organism in Eukaryota, Metazoa, Chordata, Mammalia, Carnivora, Mustelidae.